GCUUACGGCCAUACCAAACUGGCUAUGCCCGAUCUCGUCUGCUCUCCGAAGCUAAGCAGGUUUGGGCCUGGUUAGUACUUGGAUGGGAGACCGCCUGGGAAUACCAGGUGCUGUAAGCU
Carassius auratus (goldfish) is the source of this 119-nucleotide ribosomal RNA. The record is from Ensembl. NCBI's taxonomy places the organism in Eukaryota, Metazoa, Chordata, Actinopteri, Cypriniformes, Cyprinidae.